CCUACGGGAGGCAGCAGUAGGGAAUAUUGCACAAUGGGGGAAACCCUGAUGCAGCAACGCCGCGUGAGUGAAGAAGUAUUUCGGUAUGUAAAGCUCUGUCGGCAGGGAAGAAGGAAGACGGUACCUGCCUAAGAAUCUCCGGCUAACUACGUGCCGGCAGCCGCGGUAAUACGUAGGGGGCAAGCGUUAUCCGGAUUUACUGGGUGUAAAGUGAGCGUAGACGGUUGUGUAAGUCUGAAGUGAAAGCCCGCGGCUCAACCGCGGAACUGCUUUGGAAACUGUAUAGCUUGAGUACUGGAGAGGAAGGCGGAACUCCUAGUGUAGCGGUGAAAUGCGUAGAUAUGAGGAGGAACACCAGUGGCGAAGGCGGCUCGCUUGACAGAAACUGACGCUGAGGCUCGAAAGCGUGGGGAGCAAACAGGAUUAGAUACCCGUGUAGUC
RNAcentral lists this ribosomal RNA (441 nucleotides) under uncultured bacterium. RNAcentral's name for it is "partial 16S ribosomal RNA". It matches the Rfam family "Bacterial small subunit ribosomal RNA", at positions 338 to 795 of the family's 1533-position model. The record is from RNAcentral.